CCGGGACUUUAUCUCCGUGGCCAUUCCAUACCUAGAUGGUUGCGGUAAACGACUCCCGAAUAUCAACUCGGCAUCUGCAGAAGGUCCAGCUGGCAAGUACUCACUAGCUUGACCUUUUGAUGAUGCUGCACAUUC
Molecule: small nucleolar RNA, 135 nt
Filed under: Blastobotrys adeninivorans
Lineage: Eukaryota; Fungi; Ascomycota; Dipodascomycetes; Dipodascales; Trichomonascaceae
Source: RNAcentral